Molecule: long non-coding RNA, 836 nt
Organism: Nothoprocta perdicaria
Lineage: Eukaryota; Metazoa; Chordata; Aves; Tinamiformes; Tinamidae
Exons: 3
Source: RefSeq, a predicted model, not a curated record
CCUACCCUGGAUAUCUUUAUCAGUAAACUGAAUCUGGUCUUUACAUUGACUUGCCAGGAUGGAAGGAUUAGCAUAAUUCUGAUGCCUGUGGUCUUUUACCUUCACAGAAAGGGAGGAGAAAGCGUAAAUGGAGUUUUAUCCUGCCUUGUGAAUGAUCCUGGAAUCUGCAGAAGAUAGUGCUUGUUCUCCAGACACAAGAGGAUUCCAACAUGACUGUGCAAGAAGCCAACGUUUCACCUUCCUUGAAAUGACAACACCCAAGAAAAUAUCUUGGUACUUUCCUACUUGAAAAUAAGUGCAGACCCACUGUAAACCAGCCUACAUCCAAGAGAGCUUGUUUAUUACUCUUUGAAAUGGAGAGUGUUUGCCAAGAGGGUUUCUCGGAAGAGAGGAGGACGGUGAAAUGGAUACCCUGAGGCAUCCUUCUCCCCACCAUGCCUGAGAAACCUGGUGACUGGAUGAUUUAACUCUGAGUACCUUUCUGGGAGGCAUUAUCCAGUGCUGUUUGCUCUUGAUGGGAGAAAAAGGCCUGUAAACAGAGCACAGUAGAGACUAAUCAUCACUCUAAUCUCCUCUUGUGAGAACUUGGAGAAAAGGACAAGAGGUCUGGGGACAACUCAAAGUGGAUGGUGAAGAAGGACAUUGGAGGAAUGGGAAGGGUUGCCAGAUUUGUGGAAAAACUUGUGCAAGAAAAGAAUACCAAGAAAAGGUGGAAAGAGCUGCACUAGGAGGAAAAUCUAUCUCCAAAACAUCAGAAAAAAAUAAACACAAAAUCUACCAGCAAGAGCUGAGAAAAGGGAUCUGGUGUCAGGCUGAAGGUUUGCAGAAUGACAGAG